This is a long non-coding RNA of Nematostella vectensis (starlet sea anemone), 694 nucleotides long. RefSeq lists it as uncharacterized. NCBI's taxonomy places the organism in Eukaryota, Metazoa, Cnidaria, Anthozoa, Actiniaria, Edwardsiidae. The transcript is spliced from 2 exons. The record is from RefSeq and is a predicted model, not a curated record.
UGCACUGAUUAUGUAAAAUAUUGGAGAAAUAAUAUAUGCAAUUCCAUCCACAGAGAGCAGCAUGUGAUGACAGAAAUGUCAAAAUGUCAACCAGUCCAAAGAGUUCAAUCAGCAAGAUAUUGGAGACUACCCGUUCACCUGUGAUUCGCUUGUGCGACUCAUUGCAAAAUCCCUCCCAAGAUCCCCUAACCUCAUUAAAUAAUAUGCGAAAGCAUAUCAAAACUUUACUGUUCCGACUAGAGUGCCUGACAAACUACGGAAUAUUGAUGAGAAACCCCCUAGACCCCCUCUCCUGCCCUGAUGACCCCCGUUGGUGAAGCCAGAAAAAAUGACAGAGGAGAUGUAGUUUUAAAUACCGAACAAUGGGAGUAAAUAAUGACUAGCUUAUAUCAAAAUAAAGAUAAUUAUUAAGAUUCUUCAAUCACCCAAGGGUAGAGUGGGGGGAUGAGGGUGGGGAUUGGCAGGAGGGCACAAAAAGCAAAUGAUGCCACACCCCCUCCCCUUUGCAUUGAUCUGUCAUUUCUCCUUUUUGAGUCCAUUGAGGAAACAAUCUGCUCACCUAACUCAAUUAACUCCAAAGCACUCCCAUUAUCAUACAAGGACUUGAAACAAUCCUCUUUGUCAUGUUAUUUAGAUCCAAAUAACUGUUGAGAUAAUCAAAACUGCAAAGUAAAUAGAAGUGAUACUGAAAUAU